AAGACAUACAUAUUUCAAAAUUAGCUGUGAACGCCUCCUCAUGCACUAGGUACAACUAAUAUUUUACAUAUGCAUGGCAUAUUUUACAGCAAAAAACUCAGAGGAUUUUAUGUGAAUCUCUCUCAGCAUUCUUCCCAAAUAACUGGGGAUAUAUUACCUGUACCUUUUAUAGAUGGGGAAAACGUGCGUAACCCUUAAAGCUCCUCCAUGGAGUUGAAUCCACUGUUUAAAUCCUCUUUCCCACUGUUGUUUAAUAACCUUCAUAUUCAGUAAUCACAACAGCUUCUAUAAUGUUCACAGCUGCACAGUGUUGUACUUCUUCCGCUUGUUACAGAAGAGCUAUAAUUGGAGUAUUUCUGAUUCCUCCUUUUCCAAUUUCUGAAGGAACUAAUCAUUUUUUAAGUCUCCAUAAGCACAAGUGUGAAUAGCUUUUCAACCUUGGGGUCAGGACAUUUUGCACAGGGAGGAGAAUUAUAUCCUGGUCUAAUCCUUUCACACCAUUUCCAAGUCAGUGCCAUAACCAUGGCAGUGCUCUCAUGCCUCCACUGUGGUUCAGCAGUCAGAGCUGCUCAUUAACGCCUGCAUCUCUUUUACAUGACAGCGAGUUAGCGCACUGAACUUUUUCUAGCUUGUCAGGUCAUGCUUAAAAGUUACACAAUAAAACGAAAUAGGCGGUGCCUGGUCAGUCAGUGUCUGACCAAACAGAGCUGGGAGAGUAAAACAAGCUUUCACGAAAAUGAAAAUGCUUUGUAACUCAUACUUCUGAAAUCUGUCACCAAUACAUAUAUGAACAAGAGGGGUAUGUAUGUUCAUCUGCUGCUCAGUGUGAGAACUGAAAAGAGGCCAAGGGUUAAGAGCAUCCCCCAAGUGCCGAUUCCCAACAACAAUACAGCGAACUGGGAGGUAAAGCCAGCUUUAGAGUGCACCCCUCUAUAUGCUGCAGCAUCUAAGACCAGCAAAACUAGUCCACAGACCAUAGAUCUGCACCUGGUGUAUCCUACAUGGGGAGGAGGCGGCAAUUGGAGCUGCUGUCCUGACCUGGCAUGCUGGCCUUCCUCUCCAGGAGAGACCAAAAAACACCCCCAAAAUAAAACCCAACAAACUGAACUGUGGUUGCUCCCCAGUCUGAGAUUUUGGUUCAUGGUCACUUUCACCUACUGACCUUCUCUGAAGCUGUCUAUCACCCCUUUAUUUUCAUCAUUAACCACAAAGACUGGAGUUCUCAUAUUUUCAUGGUGAGUAACAGGCCUGUUUCAUGCCAGAGGCUCCCAGUCAGACACAACAUACCAGGAGCAGUCAUCUCCUGCAUGAGGGCCCAGGCCUGGUCCAGCUGUGUGCCAGGCAGCAGACAGCAUUCGUUUCUGCGGUUCCAUUUCUGUCUUAGGUUUGAGGUGCUGCAAGUACUAAGUGGUUGCUGUCUGAAUUUCUUUUCUGCGAGAAUGGCUAACGAAUAACUGCUUUUUUAAUUCAAAACCAAAACCAACUGAAUUAUACAAUUUGUGUAAUGAUAUAAGCAGCAAGCUUUGUGUCUCCAUUUUCCCCAAACAACAAAGUCCUUUUUCUCUCACAUAUGUGGACUGUAAUUCAGAGCUAAUUAUAUGAGUAGCAAUGUUCAUGCUUUUGUACUCAAGGUUCCUAAUGCAGUAUUUACAUGUAUUUUCCUUUCAGCUUUCUUCUGGCACUUUGAUAAAUUACCUAGCAAAAGGCUUUCAGGUGAACUAGCUUCUCCACGAUCAUGCUUGGGAAAGCAAGAUGAAGUGCUAAUGAGGUUAAAGGAAAUGUAGUCAGCACCAGUGUUAACUCACAAGGGUUUGAAUAUCCACUCUGCAAGACAUUUUCACCUACAACAAUCUCUGCUGGUUUCUGGCCUACUGAGCUACAAGCUACUUAUUUCUUUUAAAUGUCUGCCAGAGAAUCCAUCACCUGUGAGGAAACAAGGGCAACCAUCAGUGGGGCAGGGAGGGAAAUGUCAUCAUCUGCUAGGUGAUACACAUUAAUACUCCCACAACAUCUGUCCUGUAGCUUGCUUGAAAAUGGUUCCCUUUGGAAAAAAAGUCUUCUGACUGAGACGUGCAGGUAUUACCCAGCUAAUUCUUCAGUGAUGCGUGGGGGCCGAGCACCUGUACCCGCUCCGGGCCAGUCACCGACGCUCACCUCUGAGUCUUUCUGCACAGAUCUACAAAUCUCGCACCUAAAACCGUCAGAGGAAUUCACAGCCAACAGCCACAGCAUUCUCAUACCAGCUGUUUCUAAUGCCUUGACAAUAUUGAAAGCAAGGGGAAAAAACCUAAUGCUGUAAUAUUAGCUCGUCAGGAGGCAGCGGCUGCACCAGAAAUGUCAUCUACUUAAGCAAUAAUAAUGGAGGCACAAGGCAUUUCUUUGGGAUUGAUAACCAGCUAGGAAAAGUUGAUGGCCUGAGAAUAACCAGGGGCCAUUAAGCCAGAAGAACAUUAAGUUCACAGAAAGCUCUCUGCUAAUGUAAUUAUUACAGUGAUAUGUGCGGAAAAAAAAAGCAAACCAAAAAAAGCAAACCCGUGACAUACGAGUUAUAUUUCAGGUAGGCAAUGCAACCCGUACUCCAUUCGUCUUGCUUCAAAAUGUCCAAAAAAGGCACAGGGUGAGAGGUAGGUGACUUUUAUGGCACCUGUGCUAGCUACCUUGAAACACAGAGCACCUACAUCGGCUGAAGUUCAAUGGCACCCACUGGUACCCACUGUGUUCAUCCAGCGAAGCUGGCAGAACAAGCCAGUGCACUUCCGUGCUAGAAGGGCUGUCCCAGAGAAGGGAAGGGAGCAGGGGAACUUGCCUGGUGCUGGGACACUCCACAGCAGUGCUGUGGUGGCCAUAACAAAUGCACACAACCUGGUUUGGUGUAAGUACCACGUGCCGAAAUGCCGCCAGCAGCUGUCACUGCCAUGCGUUACAGCCCAGUAACUACUGCUGCCGUAUCACAUUCUUCUGGUUUGUUUAAAACCAACCAACAAGCAAAUGGGAAUGAAAAAAGCAUUGCCACGGUUGUUCCUGUAUUUUCCUAUUUAAGGCAAUCUCUGCUCUGUUAUUGACUUCAAAAUCUAUGGCGGCCAAUGAUAGAAAGAUGUUAUUUUCAGACACUUUAUUGCUCAAAAAAAAAUCAAUAGAAUGUUAUUACUGAUUCAAACUAUGUAAUCUUAGAUAAAAUUAUCUUCUUUGUGAUGAAAUCAAAUGCCUUCUUUAUUAUUAUUUUUUUUUAUUUCUGCUCGUCAUAGUCCUUUGAUUUUAAAGCCAAGACUUAAGAAAACAAGACAGUUUCCCCCAGUAACACCAGCUGCAUUGGGAAGCACGCUUCUUCCUACUGAGCACUUAAUGACCUACUUUUGAGACCCCUGGGUUCAGAUCAUUCCAUUAUCAGUAGUAUAAAAGUUUCCUUUCUAUACAUAAAAAAUGCAUAUUUUAUCUUAGCAAUGAUGACAUGGCAAAACAAACAAACAAACAAACAAAAAACCCAAACAGUGAAGAACACCUCAUUACUGAGCUUGGCAGAAGAAGACUACCUGUUAGCUCGUUAACACCAAUACUACUAAUACAUAUUGCUGGAAAUACUGCAGAUGAUUUCCAAAUGUACUGGGAGAAGGCAAGAAGCAAAGCAGAUGAAAAGAUGCUACAGAAUAUCCAAAUUCCUUUUGGAUAAAUGAUCUUUAACCAAACAUUUGAGACCGAAAGUGCAAAAUGCCAAUGAUCCUGUGAAACUAAUGCCAGUUCCCUGAUAUUUUUUGCUUUGUAAUAUAUCGAUGUUGGAACAGGGCAUGUGAAAAGAACUAAAAAUGAAAAAAAUGUACAAGCACAAAGAGUUUGCCUUAGUAUUUUCAAGUCCCGUGCACACAACACACUGCAACAAUGCCCUCAAACCAGUUUCUCUGAACAGUGAAAAUGAGCCCAGUGCAUACUGGGACAUUUUGAGUAAUACUUCAGUGUACAAAAAGCUGGAAGGAAAAGUAGAGUGAAAUAAAGCAUGUAGAGAGUUUUUAACCUCAACCAUCCUCAACUUUGAGGUUUUCAGGUCUCUGUGAGCUUCAGUUUUGUGGUGCUGAGUUCUGAUCUAAGACAUGAACUCGCUCUGACCACAGACUUCUCUCACGUUCACUUGGGGAGUGUAGCUUACUUUCCACACUACGCAUGCCAGCUCUGAUUUUCCACUGAAGUUUCCUAACUUUUCAUUCUUUAACCCAUAUGUCAGCAAGUACAGAGAGGUCUUAAAGAGGAAGAAAAAUCCCCUGAGGAAAUGCAUUUGCAAUUUUUGUUGAACUAGACUUUCAGAGCAUGAGACGCUCUGCCGUGAAAACGAGCUGCAUUAUCCACUGAAAUAAAAAUCAACCAAUGCUUUGAAAACUGUACCCCAGUGACCGACAGCGCACAAGUAAAUAGAAAGGGUUGGGAGAUACCUCUUCCCCAACACUGUUAAUCCUUAUGCAAAUCCACAUAACAAGCAUUCGCAGCAAAACUUUGCAAUUCAGAAAAGGUCUGGCAAAUCUGUUUAGGAAGAUAAAUGCGUGUCUGUUUAAAAAGAUAAAAGAUAAAUGAAUUUCUUAUUACUUCUCUUUGUUUCUCGGGCUGUAGAGCUUGAAUAUGCAGACGUUGUGGAAACAUUAGCAUCCUCAUUUCCCAUUGAUUCUUCAGAGUUAAUUAUAUAACUGGACUCUGCCUUCAGAUAUUUGUUGGAACAGAAACAGCGCAAGAGCUGAACUUCAGCGCGUGCAUUCAUCACGCCGGUAAUCACAGUGCCCUGGGUUUUAUUUCUCCAAGGAGCAGAAUAUUUUUGUCCGCCAUGAUAUUAUGCUGAUGGGCAUCUGCAAAACUUGUAGUAAAAAUAUAAUAUAAUUCUAUUUUCAAAUGGUCCUUAGGCGAAUCUAAUUCAAUUUCUAAACAUGAGGCUGGAUUACGAAAGGAAAAAUAAAAAAAACAAAUGCACUCCAUAAAGCUUUCACUGGGAUAAUUUUCUUAGAAAAAGUACCGUUCAGCACAUUAGUCACCAAAGAGUCUUGUGCUCGUGUGAAGUGUUUUCCGGCACAUUAACUCUUUUUCAGAGACCUGCCUGCUAGUCAAAGCUUCCAUUAGAUUAAUUAAAAUAUGGCUCCUCUCACUGGAAAGAAAAGGCAUGAGUUUGGUUACAAGACAUUGACCACGUCCGGAAAGCAAGCCCUUCCCUGUCACAUGAAGAACGAGUAGAAGCGGCGCAGGAGACGGAACAACGAGGGAGUAUAUCUCACUGGAUUGGCCUUCGGAUCCAUUUCACCAUGGGAACAGCAGGCCAAGAGAAGUAAAAACAACUCCGAAAUAAACAACAACAAAGAAAAAGAAGAGAGGUGGAUGGAAUAUCUUUCUAUAGUGACACUGAUUGUACAUAAAAUUCAGCCCAAAAUGCUCCAAGAAGGGUAAUGGUGGUGGGGAAAGAAUGAAAAGGAAUAACAACAGCAUGACCAAGUACUGCCAGACUGCAGAGGACUUUCAAAAUCUCUCUCAAUCUUACAUUGAUUCAAACCCUCAUUACCAAACACUCUGAGAUCUGAUACGUGUCAGCAGGAAAUCUGAAGUUGUAUGAUGGGCACUUGCUUUGCAGGUCGCUGUGCCAUGCCCGGCUGCAGCUGAGAUUCCUGGCUCAUGGCAAUGAAUCUCUGCUAAACAGUUUCUUUCAGAGCAAUAUUCGCGUUCUAAGUUUUCCAGCACUGGACACGUAGGUCACCUUUCCCUCCUUACAGCCCUAAAUAGCGCCUAGCAACUAACCAGCACUUCUGAGAAAUCCAGACCACUCCAGAGCCACUAUUUCAAAUCUCAGGAGACAGAAGGGCCUUUUCUUCUCCUGGAGCAGACGCACUGACGUACCAACAGCUUUUGGUAUGGAAAUCUUUCAGCAAUGAGUCAAAAAGAGAAGAGCUUCCCCUGAGGUAUAAGCACUGCACUGCACUGAGCAGAGAUGCAUGCAGGUGCUUCCUCCUGUCUGUACGGCACAGCCCUUGGCUGCAUGCUGUCCUGCCAAUUCCCACUGCGCCCCUGACGUGGUGAGCCCAGCUGAAGGCACCCCGAGAUGUGUGCCCAACAUGCUCAUGACGGAUGUCUCUUGAGGACACCCAGCACUCCAACACCCUAAAAAACACUGAAUUUCACCUUGAGCAUGGCACUGCCUAUGUGUUGCAGCUGUGCCUAUUUGCGUGUCCAAGGGAAUACUGCCCCGUCCUGCCAGGACUGCUGCCUCUGUAGCGCACAUGGCCGGGGAGCCUCUGUGCUGGGAACCCACCCUGGAGGUGGAGUGCGGCUGAGCUCAGACACAUCCCCAUUUAGGUACAGCUGCAGUGUGGGUAAAGCCUUUCUGCCAUGUGUUCUGCUUCCCAAAACACCGAAAAUUGCAACCGUGCAGAAUUUCUACCCUCCAAAAAAUAAUAAUCACACCACAGCCCUACUCUAAUUAAACAGAAAUUAAUUACAUCCUAUACAACAGGACAGGUUCUGAAGGCUUAACUGGCUUCCUUUUUAAUUAUUGUAUAACUUUGUGAACACAGCACAAAUCUUCUUUUUAACAUUCUAAACACGUUGGAGGGUCUUGCUUGCUUUAAAAGACUGCAAUGGAUGCCACGUUUGCAUUUAAUUAAAAAAUAAGUUACUAAACUA
This is a long non-coding RNA of Numida meleagris (helmeted guineafowl), 6639 nucleotides long. RefSeq lists it as uncharacterized. The transcript is spliced from 2 exons. The record is from RefSeq and is a predicted model, not a curated record. Lineage: Eukaryota; Metazoa; Chordata; Aves; Galliformes; Numididae.